Molecule: non-coding RNA, 106 nt
Organism: Canis lupus familiaris (dog)
Lineage: Eukaryota; Metazoa; Chordata; Mammalia; Carnivora; Canidae
Source: Rfam
UGGAGGAACAACCCCAGUGGCGGCGGCAGCUCUGGAAACCUGGUUUCAGCCCCUGCAGUAACUGCGGAGCUCUCCGUCCAAAGGGGCCUGGAUGCUCCGGGGCGGG